GCCAUCCUUUAAAGAGUGCGUAAUAGCUCACUGGUCGAGCGAUGGUGCGCCGAAAAUUUAACGGGGCUCAAGUUUGCCACCGAAGCUACGGACUUUUCUCGAAAGAGAUGAGUGGUAGGGGAGCAUUCUCUGUGCAGUGAAGGUUGACCGACAAGGACAGCUGGAGCGCAGAGAAGAGAUUAUGCAGGCAUAAGUAGCGAUAAUUGAUGUGAGAAUCAUCAACCCCGUAAACCUAAGGUUUCCUGGCCUAUGUUCGUCAGCGUGUAGGCGGGUCUUGCUGGCAAAUCCGCAAGGCCGUUACCGCCGAGACGUGAUGGGGAGGCCGCAAGGCCACAAACGGGCUGAUCCCAUGCUGCCGAGAAAAGCCUCGUAGCGAGUCAUCAUUGUGUCCGUACCGCAAACCGACACAGGUAGGUAGGUGGAAUACACCAAGGGGCGUGAGAGAACACUUCCUAAGGAACUUUGCAAUUUAGCCCCGUAACUUCGGGAGAAGGGGUGCCACGCGUAGGUGAGUCUGUACAAGGUAAGCCGAACGUGGUUGCAAUAAAGUGGCUCUAGCGACUGUUUACCAAAAACACAGGACUCUGCGAACAC
This 594-nucleotide ribosomal RNA is filed under the name Kapaibacterium sp. (SeqCode). RNAcentral's name for it is "partial 23S ribosomal RNA". It matches the Rfam family "Bacterial large subunit ribosomal RNA", at positions 1115 to 1832 of the family's 2925-position model. Lineage: Bacteria; Pseudomonadati; Bacteroidota; Eximiradiia; Eximiradiales; Kapaibacteriaceae (SeqCode). The record is from RNAcentral.